RNAcentral lists this ribosomal RNA (652 nucleotides) under Enterobacter cloacae. RNAcentral's name for it is "bacterial SSU rRNA". It matches the Rfam family "Bacterial small subunit ribosomal RNA", at positions 30 to 673 of the family's 1533-position model. The record is from RNAcentral. Lineage: Bacteria; Pseudomonadati; Pseudomonadota; Gammaproteobacteria; Enterobacterales; Enterobacteriaceae.
UGAACGCCGGCGGCAGGCCUACCACAUGCAAGUCGAACGGUAGCACAGAGAGCUUGCUCUCGGGUGACGAGUGGCGGACGGGUGAGUAAUGUCUGGGAAACUGCCUGAUGGAGGGGGAUAACUACUGGAAACGGUAGCUAAUACCGCAUAAUGUCGCAAGACCAAAGAGGGGGACCUUCGGGCCUCUUGCCAUCAGAUGUGCCCAGAUGGGAUUAGCUAGUAGGUGGGGUAACGGCUCACCUAGGCGACGAUCCCUAGCUGGUCUGAGAGGAUGACCAGCCACACUGGAACUGAGACACGGUCCAGACUCCUACGGGAGGCAGCAGUGGGGAAUAUUGCACAAUGGGCGCAAGCCUGAUGCAGCCAUGCCGCGUGUAUGAAGAAGGCCUUCGGGUUGUAAAGUACUUUCAGCGGGGAGGAAGGUGUUGUGGUUAAUAACCGCAGCAAUUGACGUUACCCGCAGAAGAAGCACCGGCUAACUCCGUGCCAGCAGCCGCGGUAAUACGGAGGGUGCAAGCGUUAAUCGGAAUUACUGGGCGUAAAGCGCACGCAGGCGGUCUGUCAAGUCGGAUGUGAAAUCCCCGGGCUCAACCUGGGAACUGCAUUCGAAACUGGCAGGCUGGAGUCUUGUAGAGGGGGGUAGAAUUCCAGG